RNAcentral lists this long non-coding RNA (1336 nucleotides) under Lepisosteus oculatus (spotted gar). RNAcentral's name for it is "lncRNA (ENSLOCG00000022623.1)". Lineage: Eukaryota; Metazoa; Chordata; Actinopteri; Semionotiformes; Lepisosteidae. The record is from RNAcentral.
CACUGAGCCUGUCCUCUCUGGAUAGUCAGGUCUGCCUGUGUCCAGUGUCUGUGGCCGGGCUGUGGUCACUGAGCCUGUUCUCUCUGGAUAGUCAGAUCUGCCUGUGUCCAGUGUCUGUGGCCAGGCUGUGGUCACUGAGCCUGUCCUCUCUGGAUAGUCAGAUCUGCCUGUGUCCAGUGUCUGUGGUCAGGCUGUGGUCACUGAGCUUGUGUUUCGUCAGGGUCUGUUUCUCCUUGUUGUCUCUCACUACUCCCCAAGUACUAUUUCCCUUCAGAGGGCUGAGUUGCAGUUCCUGUCUCUGGCCACAAGGCUGCAGUGUUUACAUUAAUCUUCACUUAAUGCAGUUGUGUGAGUGCGGCAUGUAAUUAUCACGCAUCAAGGCACACCAAGAAACCAAAAGAGAGAAGAAAUGUCUGUAGGGAAGGUGAGACCAAUGCAAGAUAAAGCUCAAUCCACAUAAAAGAGAAAGGAACAAAUGGCUGUUCUUAUGCUCUUCUCAGUAAUAUAGCAUCCAAAGACUCUUUCACUCACCGGGUUGUGGGGUUGUGGAUCAGGCUACCCAGUCGUGAUAUUGGCUUCUUCCAAAAACUGCUGGCUGAGAUCUUCAGGUCAGUGAGCUACUAACUACCAGACGCCGAGACGGGCCAAACGGUCAGCUCUCGACUGUUCGUCUCGUGUUCUUCUGUGAGCUCUGUCCACUCACCCCUCAGAGUGACACUGACAGUCUGUCUCGAUGGCCCCCUUCCCCCUGCCCCUCUGUCUGCUUCUGCACGACCCUCCUCGCCCCCCGCCCCUUCUCUCUCUCUUCCUGCAGAGCCCCGGUCCAUCGAUGCCGGCAUCUCCAUUCAGACCGAGGUUGCUUGUGCCCCCAUAACAGGUAUGAACGGGAAGAGCAUCCUCAGCGCCAUAGGACGCCACACGCCCGACCAGGGCACGGUAAUGGCAUCUGCUUCCGGGGCGACGACCUCCCCCUCCUCUUCCCGCUCCUCGUCCCAGCGCUCGGGGGCAGGCGGCAGUACCCCCGGUGGCCAGCAGAGGUCGCCCUGCUCUCAGCAGAAGCCAGUGGGGGGGGGCCUGGGGGCCGCUCUCAGUGCUCUGGCCCCCGCCAAGACCCCCUCGGCUCCCCUCCUUGCGCCGCAGUCCCCAGUGUAAAGCUCACAGCGCAGUCACCUCUCCACGCUGAGCCUGCAUGGUGUGUCUCGGUGCAGGAGGGGCAGCUGGACAGCCUAGCUCCUCUGUGCCACUCAGGCACGCUCACCGAGUCCUCGGUGUGGGAUCCUUGAGAGCUUCCGCGCGCGGCCGAGCACCGCCAGCGCCCGCGCUCUGGGAAUGUCGC